AGGAAAUUAGUUAAUAAAUAAUAUUAAUAUGUCAUAUUAAAGUAAUUGAAAAUCAAUAAUUCCUA
This 65-nucleotide transfer RNA is filed under the name Phraortes sp. Iriomote Island. Its description in RNAcentral is "tRNA-Asp". The record is from RNAcentral. Lineage: Eukaryota; Metazoa; Arthropoda; Insecta; Phasmatodea; Lonchodidae.